AUCUCAAAUCAGGUAGGACUACCCGCUGAACUUAAGCAUAUCAAUAAAGCGGAGGAAA
RNAcentral lists this ribosomal RNA (58 nucleotides) under uncultured Thelephoraceae. RNAcentral describes it as "partial 28S ribosomal RNA". Lineage: Eukaryota; Fungi; Basidiomycota; Agaricomycetes; Thelephorales; Thelephoraceae. The record is from RNAcentral.